Monomorium pharaonis (pharaoh ant) is the source of this 2831-nucleotide long non-coding RNA. RefSeq lists it as uncharacterized. The record is from RefSeq and is a predicted model, not a curated record. Lineage: Eukaryota; Metazoa; Arthropoda; Insecta; Hymenoptera; Formicidae. The transcript is spliced from 3 exons.
UCUGAAAAUAUAUAGAAACAUAUUUAUUUGAUCUUGUUUAAAUAACAACAGCAAAAAAUAUUAAUUUUGUUUAGUAGAAAAAGAUUGCCAAUACUAUAGGUCUUUCAAAGUGAUAUCCCUUUAUUUCUUAGAAAUUCAGAAUGUUACACUGUAUUAUUAUAAUACUAAAAACUACUAAGCGAAUUCGAUUGAAUAUACUAGUGCACACUGAUGCAACCUGUUGAUUAAAAUUGUUGUUGUAUAUAUGUACGCAUUGCAUUAAACAUUCAAUUCAAUUACGUUCUACAAAAAGAAACACACCUAAUAUUUCAAAAUCGAAAAAUUAUUGACACGCAAAAAAAAAACAAAAAAAUUUACACAAAUAUUAUAAAGAUUUAAUAAAUUUAAAAUAAUGUAAAAUAUAAUUUUAAUCGUUACCGAUAAACAUAGAAAUAUUUGUCUAGUUAUAGCCGAGUUGGGUAAUAACUAGUUAAACUAUUAAAAGUUGACAAUCAAUUAAAAAGCUAAUAACUUUUGACAAGAGGUAUAUAUAUUGCAGUCAAUGGAAUCGGAAAAGUCGAUUUUUCAAAGAUUUUAUUUUCUAAGAGUAUAUCUUCCUAAAAAUAAUCCCUGAAAAUUUUAGAGCCGUCAAAAAUUUUCGGAGAUACAGGUCUUGUUUAAAUCGCGCGCCGCCGCGCCAGGUCAGGUAGCGCUGCCGCGCGUUCUCUUUCUACUUUCUUAUGAAUUAUCUAGUGCACACCUAAGCUGUUUAUUUGUGUUAAUAGAUUAUAAAGAGACUUAAACCAACUGAGCCAAAAUUGAUUCUUCGAAGUACGAAAUAGAGUUGACAAAACAAGACUCGAGUGCUGUGACAGUGCUAUUCGAGACUCCGAGCCGUGCGGUUGUGUUUACAAUGAAAUAAAUUUACAAUCAAAAGAUUUAAAAAAAUCUGAGGAAAGGCGAAAAGUUUCGUAAAUCAAGGCCAAAAAAAAUAAAAAAUAUUUUUAAUCUGAAAACGGGCAAAACGGACGAGAGUAGUUUUAGCAUAUCAGAGAAAAAAAUCAAAGGCCAGGAAGAAAUAAUCGUGCCGGAAGAUAAUAAUUCUGAGUAUAGAAUUUUGGACUUUAUAACGGUAUUUGCUGCAAUCUCAACGUUUGUAAACUGUAAAAAGUGCAAUGGAAAUAUUAAAUUUGCACAAACACAUGAGCUCGGUUUUAAGGUUGUAGUGCUGUGUGAAAACUGCGCGUCUCAGUACAUUCCCAUUUGUCGGCCAUUCUUAUGAAAUCAAUCGACGAUUUAUUUUUGUCAUGAGACUAUUAGGAAUAGGACUACAAGGUUGUAAAAAGUUUUGCGAUUAAUGGACAUGCCGCCAUUUCUUGCACAAGGAACGUAUAAUAUGAUUAUUGCGCAGAUGCACGGCUGCGUGAAAACGAUCGCUGAAAAAUUUUUCAAUAAAAGUGUCAAAGAAGAGAUUACAGAGACUUGUAAAUAGCAAAAUGUUGAAAAAAACAUCAGAGUUAACUGUGUCCGGAGAUGGCACGUGGAAGAAAAGAAGUUUUAUCUCUUUAUACGGCGUUUCUUCUUUAAUUGGCUGUUAUACAGGAAAAUCAUCGAUCUCAUAGUAAAAAAUGCAUAUUGUAAAGUAAAGCAUUUGGAGCAAGAAAACUGGUUUUGCUGAGUAUGAAAAGUGGAAGGAAACACAUAAAAGUGAAUGCAUUUCCAGUCAUAAAGUCUCUUCCGUAUAAUAGAAGUAUAAUGGAAGUAUAUUCUAUUGUAAAAAUGUUCCAGCAAUCUGAACAAAAAUAUGGAGUAAAAUACAAAAAUUACGUCAGGGACGGUGAUUCCAAACAUAUACUGGAAUUGUAAAUGCUGCUCCGUAUGUGAGACGUCAAUGACUAAAAAAAAUGCAUUGAAUACGUGCAAAAAUAAAUGAGCACACGCCUUCGUGACGUGAAAAAAAAUCAACUAGCACGACCGUGGACGAAAAAACAGGUAAAGAAACAAGAGCUUCGCUUGGCGGUAAAAGAAAACUCACUGUAUAUUAUAUGGGUUAGCUAUUAGAAGAAACUGUGACUCAAUCGAAAAGAUGCGCGAAGCUAUUUGGGCGACGUAUUAUCACUACGGUUCCACAAAUAAGAAUCCUCGUCACGAGAAAUGCCCGCCUGGCGCUGAGUCGUGGUGUAUCUGGGCAGCGCGCUUCCGCGGCAGACAAAUUGGAGUCUUAUAAACAUGAUUAUAAUGCUUUAUCACAAGAUGUCUUAGAUGAAAUCAAAUCAAUGUACGAGGACUUGAGCAAGGACACUUUGUUGAAGAGAUGUGUAAGUGGAUUCACACAAAACAGUAUUGAAAGUUACAAUUAACUUAUUUGGAAAAUCAGCCCUAAAAUCAUCCCAGAGCCAAGUGGUUCUGUGAUAGUUGAAAUUGCUGCCUACAUUGCUGCUUGCACUUUCAACGAAGAUGCAGAGACCCUACUGUCAAUAUUACAUGCAAUGUCUGUAAGACGCAAGAAAACACUGGAAAAGGAAGAAUGUUUCGUAGGCAACGUCAGAUUGGCAUUUUAGAAGCGGCAAGUGCAGCGGAAGGCCUUUUAGAUGGAGCUGGAAUUGAUGAUGAUAUAACCUGGGAGUGAGCAAAAGUGAUCAUCAUGAUUAGAAUUUUUUUCGAGACGUUUUCGGCAAACUGCUGUAUCUCGCUAUAAACUGCAUAUUUGUACUUAACAAAAUUUCUAAAGAUUCUUCAGUAGUUACUUUUUCAUAAGUCAUAAAUUAUAAAUAAAUCUAUGCAUAUACUUUUUUUAAAAAAUCCUUAAAUGUAGCGUUUUUUGGCUAUAUAUAACCCUAACUUAAUCUUAA